UCACAUGUACAGGAAAUGGAGUGUUCAGUGCUACAGCAGUGACAGAAAUAAUUCUAAAGCACAGGUGACCUGAAACAUUAAAUAGUGGGCAGAUGCAGGCAAAUUGCCUCAGUAAGCACUGUGAUUGUCUAUGAUCCUUUCCACCUGCUAAUGAAUAUGCAUGUGGAAAAUCAGAAACUCAUUUUUUUUUUAACUAUGUUGAGCUUGCUUUCAUAAUGAAUAAAUCAGGAUGAUAAAAUGUGAAGUCACCCAUAUUUAAGAUUUAACAAAAAAAGGACAGUUAGAAUCUGCCCAGGAAUAAAUAUAGGCUGAGAAUCAGAAUGUUCCUGAAUGUCAGAGCAAUGAGAUCUACAAUAUCCAGUAAUCAUUAAGGUCUGGGGAAGGAGAAAAGGUAGUUCUGAGUCCCACAGGCUACUUUGGCAGAUUGUAGAAGAACUGUAUGUAAUUAGCACCAAAAAGAAAUUAAUCUGAGAAGACAAAAGCUAUCAUCAAAAGAUAACAUGGAUACUGAUUUUCUGUGCGUGGCAGGAGUUGGAACAGAUGCAGUGAAGCAGAAGCUAGAAGAAUCUGUUUGCUCUGAUUGCUGGCCAGAGGGCAACGUGGGGUACAUGGGAAAGCUGAGGGCAAAGGAACAGCUCUUUCAGACUGAUCAAAGUCUGCAACCAUAGAAGUUUUUCUUCCUGCUUGUUUGUUUGUUUCCUUUUUUCUAAAGAGCAGAACCUAGCAACUUGUUUUCAAACUUACAGGUGUUUACAGUAGACCAGUGAGAGAUUAGGUUUAUUUUAAACACAUGCAUAUUUUGUAGGUAGAAUAAAACUGUGCAUGUGCAAAUAAAAUAAAUGAUGUCAUAACAAGGUGCAUAAUUUACAUGCAGGCAUAAAGAAUGAAACUCUAUUAAGUAUUGUAUUAAACAGCCUAAUGGAAGUUUGCAUGUAUAAUUACUUUAAUUUACAUUUUUAUAAUCACUCAUUCUUUAGAAUGGUUCAGAUCCUGGUUUCUAUCUCAGCAUCCCAAAGUGCUUUGCAAACAUUUUGUGAAUUAAAGCCUGUAACAACACUGUAAGGUAGAAAAGCUGAAAGAAAAGGAACAAUUUUGCAAG
Molecule: long non-coding RNA, 1099 nt
Organism: Numida meleagris (helmeted guineafowl)
Lineage: Eukaryota; Metazoa; Chordata; Aves; Galliformes; Numididae
Exons: 3
Source: RefSeq, a predicted model, not a curated record